Molecule: unclassified non-coding RNA, 220 nt
Filed under: plant metagenome
Description: partial contains small subunit ribosomal RNA, internal transcribed spacer 1, and 5.8S ribosomal RNA
Source: RNAcentral
UCUCCGUAGGUGAACCUGCGGAGGGAUCAUUACAGGGUUCGUGCCCUCACGGGUAGAUCUCCCACCCUGUGUUGUUAUACCUUUGUUGCUUUGGCGGGCCGCCCUCGGCUACCGGCCCCGGCUGGUACGCGCCCGCCAGAGGACCCCAAACUCUGAAUGUUAGUGUCGUCUGAGUACUAUACAAUAGUUAAAACUUUCAACAACGGAUCUCUUGGUUCUG